RNAcentral lists this long non-coding RNA (746 nucleotides) under Androctonus crassicauda. Lineage: Eukaryota; Metazoa; Arthropoda; Arachnida; Scorpiones; Buthidae. The record is from RNAcentral.
CUUAUAUGUAUGUUCGAGGUUGUUCUUCAGGCACUGAUGGGGGACUUUGUGUGGUCCGGGAGCGUUUUGCCAUUGAGAGUCCUUUGCUUGUGGAGCUGUGUCUUUUUUGCCAAUAACUAUAUAUUCUGUUAAGGAGUAUCAUUUUUUUUUUAAUUAUUGUGUAAUUAUUGUUAUCCACCCAGGCUAAAGUUUUUAAGGAGGUGGGAAUAUUGUGCCAUACUUCAUUUUUUAUUGUUCCUUUGGCUAGCUUUUUGGUUGAAAUAUGACCACCUAAGUCUUUCCUUCUCUAAGUCAUCUAAUGUGACAAGCAGUUUUUAUUAUAGGAAUUUCAUCAUAUGGGGCAGAAACUGACUCAAAAGUAAAAGAACCUUUCAUAUAAAGGUGCCGUAAAUAGGGGGUAACGUAAUGUUUCCCAUGAUCGUUAUUGAUUUAUGUUUAGGUACUUUUACUAAGUUGGUAUUUGAAUAUCUAGCUUAUAUAUAUAGCUUUUUAAUGUAUUUCAUCCUCAGGCUUAGAGUCGGGGCUUUGAUUUCAACUUCUACAUAUCAUUUAAAAAAUGGGAUGGAGAAUUAUGUUGAAGUACAAGGUCUUUCUAUUGGUUUAGCUGGCAUUUGAGUCCAAAAUGUCUCCUUUUAGCAUCUGUAAUAGCAAUUUUCGAGCAGACUUUUUGUUUUUCUUAAAAUUGAUCUGGAUUUAAUAGAUAAUUUAAUCCUAUAAAUUGACAUUGGAUAAAUGCCAUUAAUUGC